AGCUUUGUGCAAUGGCAGUAUCAUAGCCAAUGAGGUUUAUCCGAGGCGCGAUUAUUGCUAAUUGUAAACUUUAUUUUUUUUAACUUUUUGAGACAGGAUCUCACUAUGUAGUUCAGGCUAACCUUGAACUCACUACUGGU
Molecule: small nuclear RNA, 140 nt
Filed under: Fukomys damarensis (Damara mole-rat)
Lineage: Eukaryota; Metazoa; Chordata; Mammalia; Rodentia; Bathyergidae
Description: U4 spliceosomal RNA
Rfam family: U4 spliceosomal RNA
About the family: U4 small nuclear RNA (U4 snRNA) is a component of the major U2-dependent spliceosome. The structure of U4 snRNA from yeast and human has been reported. U4 snRNA presents a k-turn RNA motif in the 5p-SL related to recognition of Snu13 protein.
Source: Rfam by way of RNAcentral